AUUGAACGCUGGCGGCAUGCCUUACACAUGCAAGUCGAACGGUAACAGGUCUUCGGAUGCUGACGAGUGGCGCACGGGUGCGUAAUACAUCGGAACGUGCCCGAUCGUGGGGGAUAACGGAGCGAAAGCUUUGCUAAUACCGCAUACGAUCUACGGAUGAAAGCAGGGGACCGCAAGGCCUUGCGCGGACGGAGCGGCCGAUGGCAGAUUAGGUAGUUGGUGGGAUAAAAGCUUACCAAGCCGACGAUCUGUAGCUGGUCUGAGAGGACGACCAGCCACAAUGGGACUGAGACACGGCCCAGACUCCUACGGGAGGCAGCAGUGGGGAAUUUUGGACAAUGGGCGAAAGCCUGAUCCAGCCAUGCCGCGUGCAGGAUGAAGGCCUUCGGGUUGUAAACUGCUUUUGUACGGAACGAAAAGACUCUUUCUAAUAAAGAGGGUCCAUGACGGUACCGUAAGAAUAAGCACCGGCUAACUACGUG
This 482-nucleotide ribosomal RNA is filed under the name uncultured bacterium. RNAcentral's name for it is "partial 16S ribosomal RNA". It matches the Rfam family "Bacterial small subunit ribosomal RNA", at positions 30 to 507 of the family's 1533-position model. The record is from RNAcentral.